UCAAAAAAAUCAAAACUUUUUUAAAAAUUUGAAAAAGUAACAAAGAAAAUGAAAUACUUAAAAAAAAUCAAUUAUGCAAUUUCUUUAAAAAUUUGCGAAUCAAUUUUUUUCCAUAAUUUGAACAAAAUGAAAAAAUUUUUAAAGAAAAAUUAUAAAAAUGAUAUUUUUAAACAUUUUUAAAUGGUAAAAAUAAACUGUAGGUAGGUAUAAUUAUAGUGAGCCGUCGCAGCAAUGCCCAGGAGAACCAUGUAGGGGAUCUCCGUCUAUUCCGAUUAGAAUUUCGGACAGUACUCCCAAUUCGGCCGAUCUUCUGCUGUAACUGUUUUAAGAUAGCAAAAGAUAACACGUUGUGAAAGGGGGUAGAGUACUUACUACGAAGUGUGGUAACUUAUUAUUUUAUGCCGAAACACAAAAUACUAUCUUACGAUUGGUAUUUACCUUUUACUCGAAUGUGAUAAGGCCGAAUAUCUUCAUCUUCCAGCCACUUUUGAAGAACUGGAUUAUGUCUCCCUCAUUCUGUGCCUCGAAAUGACAAGCUCUGCCGACGUAACAUGCAAUAAGCUAUACAUCAAGUAAAAUUUUGACUAGGCACCUCAGUAUUGUACUGAAGAAUUCUCUCUUGUUCCUGGCAAAUUUUAAAGGAUUCUUUGUUGAAAAUAACAUCAAUUAGGCUUUUCUUUGUCAUGAAGGAAACAUAAUCACAGACCAUAUUACACAAAAUAAAAAUAAAUAUCAUAGGUACCUAAAUAUAUUUCAUUUAAAACGGAUAGAAAAGAAAAGAAAAAAAAUUUACUUAGACUGAUCGAUCAGCUCGAUGGCUUCCGGUCACGUGUAGUUUAACUUCAACUCGUGUGUUCGUGAUUACGGGCAUCAUUUUGUACAAAUAGUAAUCUGAAAUAAAUAAAUAAAUAAAUAAAUCAAUUAAUUUUCAGUACGAUUUUUUUAAAUUUUCAGUUCACUGAAUACAAAGAUAUUUUUUUCAAUGUUUUUCAAUUUAUUUUUCUGACAAAAAUUUUUAUGAAAAAUUGCAGUUUUUACACUAAAAAUUAAUGAGGUAAUUAGUUCAUCGUACUUGAUAAAUAUUAAAUCAUCGACUCAUCAAAUAAAAAAGUGAGAACCGCGUGGCUCAAAAUUUUUCUGAAAUGCUCGAAAAAAGUUUUUAUAUCAAUUUUUUUCAACACUUGAACCCAUUUCUACCGAUUGCAUGACAUCAUUCUCAGAGAAUUUCCGAAAUCAUGACAUAAUUUUGGGCUCAGAGUCCUUCAAACAUGCUCAAACAAAUGUCUCGUCAAAAUAUUUCAAUUCCUCGCAAAUUUUUUCAAAAAUCCCCAAAAAAUCAAAACCCAAUUUCGGACUUGAAACACUUCAAAAAAGCUCUAAAAACAGUUUUGUCAUUUCCAAAAUCAGCUGGAAUGGCAAAAAACAUCGUGUAAAAGCUCUAAAAACACCACAUACCACAAAAAAAUGAAGUCAAUUCUGUCACAGUUCCUAUAAAUAAAUACAUGAAAAGUGUAAAAACGUGUCAAAAAUGACAUAAAAAGACUCAAAAAUGCGAUCAAAUUGCUGAAGAAAGGAUAACAUUUUGUCAAAAAUAAGUACAAAGAUAGAAUUUGGAAAAAUUCUUUAAUACAUCGUUAAAAUUAUACCCAAAAACACGAAAAUCACAAAAAAAAGAAGAAAAUUCUAUAAAAUUUGCCUAAAAUCACGAAGAAGUGUUGAAGAUGUGUGUAAAAACACUCAAAAACGUAUUAAAAUUACUAAAAAAAAAAUAAUCAAGUAAUACUUACGCAACUGGACGUGUGUUUUUAUUUGUCUUAUUAUUCUUCAUCCUGUAAAAGGGCUUAAAAACUGUUAUAAGUAUCUGUUCUUUCAACACUGUGUAUAACACAUAUGUAGGCGAAGUUUCGUUUUGAUUGGAGAUGUACAGUUGGUAGGUACUUGGUAUUGGUCCCUUGAGCUCUAUUAUAUUCAAGUUGUUUAUCAUUUGACAUAUUGUAAUGAGGGGGCUGGGAAAGAUUGGUUAUAGGGGGAAAUAUGAUAAUAACUUAAUGCCUGGGGGAUUCCAAUAAAUAUUCCUUAGGGAAGUAAUAUUUAUUCGGACUUGUCUAGCUCAGAGAAGAGGCUGUUAAUCUUUCUUAGCUCCAAUUUAACACUAAUUCUGAAUCUACCUAUGAAAUGAAACACAGUAGACAAAUCAUUUUACUCCUAUAUUCGAUGUAAUUGAAUGAAAUGGUUUAGCAUAAUUAUACCAAAUAAUCUUAACUAGGUUAAUAUUAUUCUGUGUUGACAUGGAAAACUGUCAGCAGCAUAAUCAGCCACGAUUAUGCGGAUUGUGCAGAACUAUCUCAGGAACAUGCCUAGCUUGUAAUCAAUAAGCGAGUGAGAUUAAUUACAAAAGUGCGGUGAAGUUACACUACUUAUAAUUAAUAUAGAGUUCAACGGGUACCUGGAUAACCGGGUUUCCGGGUUCAACCCGGAAAGCAACCCGGUUACCCGGAUACGGAACCGGGUAGUGAAAAACAAUGAAAAAUGCGACGUUGCCAAAUCAAAGUGACGAAAAAAGUUCAUCUUUAUAUAGCAAUCCUAGCGAUAUAAAGAUGAACUGCUCAAAAUGACGUCAUUUUCUAGAAUUUUUCUACCCGGAUAAUGAACCGGGUAGACCCGGAUAAUUUUCGGAUCCGAGUAAUACCCGCGGAUCCGGGUACCCGUUGAACUCUGUAUUAAUAGGAUGGUGAAGGAAACUGGGUAAGAUUUAGGAUACAUCUCUUACUUCAACACUGUACUUGUUCCCUGCUUGUCGGGGUGCUACUCAUACUAAGUAUGUCGCAGGGUAUUGGUUGGUAGGUACACAUUGCCAGGGGUAGAACCACUAAGAUCCGGAACGAAUAGCGGUUCAUCCAAAAAAGCACUAAUUAAUCGACAUACCAUAAUUAGCGCGAUAUAACACAAAUUCACCACGCGAUGGGUAACAUUAUAAAAUAGGGAGAGUGGACUUGAGAUACCCGGACCAAGUGUUUGUUAGAGGUUCACGAUCAGAGCUUGGAACCUCGGAUAGAGAAUAUACUAGUACACGUAACCUUCAGUCCCCACUAUGGAAUAAGUUCAAUAAUCUUUACUGCGAGAACUUUACAAUAUAAACCACCUAUAGCGGUUGGGCCAUAUCUCACCCUUACAAUAUCCUGGACCAAAAAUGCCUAAGAAAGGAUCAAAAGACUGACAUGUGUAAAUCCUGAUAAGUGGUUAAAUCCCUUAUUUCAGAGAAGGGGGGUUAGGGGAUUGUGAGUGGCAGCACAAACCAUCAUAACAAACGAAGCACAAGCGAUUAAAUCAAUUUUCAUCGUCUCGGCGACCUUUCUUCUAACCCCUUUUUAAAAUUUUAGAAGUCUUUCAAUAUUUCUGAUCAAAAUUUUUCAAUUGAGGCCACUUUAAUUUCUCAUUACCUACCUAUUUUUUUCAAGUUGGUAAAUUUAAAAUCUUUUAAAAUCUUUAAAUUUUAAUUUCCUGCAAUUACAUAAUUAUAUCAAAUGUUUAAAAACUGGCGAAAAAAAUCAUCAAUAACGAAUAUUUUUACAAUUUUACAAUAUUUUGUCUGACUUUUCAAGAACAUUGGAAACAAUGUUUCAGAAUCCCAAUCAAUGAGAUUUCAUUAUUAGAUUUGAAGCAAAAAACAUACCUAUUUACCACAUCAACCACAUGAAAGUUUGAAACUUUCCUCCCACAGAAGAUUUUACCUUCAUUUUUUCAACUCGACAGGUCUCUCUCUUCAUGUACGUGGCCAACAUAACAUUUUUUCGGGGGGAGGGACUAAGGAAAGGUUUAUAUUGAAAAAAGACUUAGAUACCUAAUAAAAUUACUAAAAAAAAAAAAAUUAAUACUUACUUACGUGACUGGACGCGUGUUCCUAUUUGUCUUAAGUGAUUAUCAUGGAUAAAAUCUAGAUUAGCAUUAUGCAUUAUUAUGAACAACACCAUGAAGGGUUCCAUUAUUAAAAAAUAUUUGUAAUUGGGGUUUAACCACUCUUUGAACAAACUCGAAUCAAGUUAAGUGACGUAUCAAUAAAAAUUUUGGUAUGCUAAAAAAAUAGCCAACAAAAUGACAAAUUUCUAAUAAAUUAUCAAAUCAAAAAUUAUGAAUCAACUUAUUAUUUGAAAUGAAACGAAGAUGAAGGCUAGAUGAAAUUUCUGAAGCACCAAAACUAAAGACCGAAAUGAAGAAAUACAUGAAUAGAUAUACUUAGUUACUUACACGAAAAAAAAUUAAUGUAUAAAAAAAAAUUCUAAUAAAUUGAAUUAAUACUUUCGUUGUAGGUGAAUCUAUGUUUGUGGUCCUUCCUACAUUUGAACACAAAAUAAAAAUUAAAAAAUGAUUUUAUAUUUUUCACUUAAAUUCUCCAUUUGUACAUACACAUGAGUAGUAUAGGGGUCACUUUGGUUGUUUUCUUGACUACUUCUCAUGCGGUUGAAUCUCCCCAAAAUGAGGGUUUCACUAAUAUCUCAUCAGCUAGGGGUUGAUUUUACGUUGAAAAUAGCUCAGUAUACUUUUACUAUCCACGCCAAAUUUCCUACAACUUUUGUCUAAAAUUUAAAAAAAAAAACAUCGUUUUUAUGAUUUUAUGCCUCUCGAAAUACAAAUUUUCAAAAGCUUUCACUUUCGUUUGGGCCUGUUCUGUUUUCUUUUUCAAAAUCAACUUCCUUCAAGAAAACGUCAUUCAGAUUCUAAAAUUUUAAAACGCCAAAAGUAAACUACUCGUCCUCACAUAAAAAAUAUCGUUUUUUUUGCCUGUCAAAAAUAUAAUUAAAAUUAAAAAUCAAAAAUGGCGGUUACGAGUACCUACCGUGAUUCAUCAGUAGAAGCGCUACUUGACAUACAGAUCUCCACAAAGAAUCCUGAUUAAUCGUCCAAGAAGAAAGAUACUCACAACGACAGUAGAAAAAUGCGAGAAAAAGAGGAAAAGCACAAAAAAAGAAAGCAACUUUUGAUGUCUAAGAAAGAUCAGUUCAAAAUGCCACCGACGAUUUUCAAUUUUGAAAACAGUCAACAGAAUAAAAAGCUUACUUACUUUUGUUGCAAAUGAAUUGGUAUACCUACAAAGAAAUAGCCGAGCUUGAUGAGCCUUCCGCUAUUGCUAGUGUCGAAUGUUUCUCAAAAGAAAUCACUCUGAUGCAAUUGCAAAUUUCCUCCAUUUUACAAAAAGCAGUAGGUAUUCUUUUCACCUAAAUUAUGGAUUACUGAAAUAAUUGUUACUGAGGCUCGAUGUUUAUGAAAAUUUGCUGACCACAAUUCCAACUCCAGAUAAUUUAGACAGUAUGAUGUCACUAUGGAAAUGGAAGACGACAUUGAUCCUAGCUCCAAAAUGCAGACGAUUGUAUUAUUGAAUGCUUAAGUACAUAUAAGUACAGUUGUUUUAACAUUAUUAGUUGAUAGGUAAAAAGCUAUUAUUAGCUUCUUGUUGUCUGCGUAGAUGCUUUUGCUUGUAGUGUGAUGUAAUGAUUCGAAUUUAUUUUUGGUCCUUGUAUUGCUUGGAAUUCUCACUACAAAAGAGAAAAGUGGAGGUAAAAAUAAGAUAGGUACCAUUCUUGAGAGAUGAAAUGGUUUAGCUAGAUCUCGAUAAUGUUAUAGUUUGAUUUUAUAAGUAGGUAUAUGAAUCAUAUUCAUGUUAUUCUACUGAAUUACCUACCUAAUGAUUUAAUUUUUGAAUUACGAUUUAAUAAUUGUGAUAUUAUGAGAAGAAUUAUAUGAACUAUGAUUUGAA
Long non-coding RNA from Planococcus citri (citrus mealybug), 5752 nucleotides. RefSeq lists it as uncharacterized. The transcript has 4 exons. The record is from RefSeq and is a predicted model, not a curated record. NCBI's taxonomy places the organism in Eukaryota, Metazoa, Arthropoda, Insecta, Hemiptera, Pseudococcidae.